AGUGAACGCUGGCGGUAGGCCUAACACAUGCAAGUCGAACGGCAGCACAGUAAGAGCUUGCUCUUACGGGUGGCGAGUGGCGGACGGGUGAGGAAUACAUCGGAAUCUACAUUUUCGUGGGGGAUAACGUAGGGAAACUUACGCUAAUACCGCAUACGACCUACGGGUGAAAGCAGGGGAUCUUCGGACCUUGCGCGAUUGAAUGAGCCGAUGUCGGAUUAGCUAGUUGGCGGGGUAAAGGCCCACCAAGGCGAAUAUCCGUAGCUGGUCUGAGAGGAUGAUUAGGCACACUGUAACUGAGACACGGUCCAGACUCCUACGGUGGGCAGCAGUGGGGAAUAUUGGGCGAUGCGCGCAAGCCUGAUCCAGCCAUACCGCGUGGGUGAAGAAGGCCUUCGGGUUGUAAAGCCCUUUUGUUGGGAAAGAAAUGCAGCUGUUUAAUACCCCGCUGUUCUGACGGUACCCAAAGAAUAAGCACCGGCUAACUUCGUG
RNAcentral lists this ribosomal RNA (492 nucleotides) under uncultured bacterium. RNAcentral describes it as "partial 16S ribosomal RNA". It matches the Rfam family "Bacterial small subunit ribosomal RNA", at positions 29 to 507 of the family's 1533-position model. The record is from RNAcentral.